This 424-nucleotide ribosomal RNA is filed under the name uncultured bacterium. RNAcentral describes it as "bacterial SSU rRNA". It matches the Rfam family "Bacterial small subunit ribosomal RNA", at positions 358 to 773 of the family's 1533-position model. The record is from RNAcentral.
GGAAUAUUGGACAAUGGACGCAAGUCUGAUCCAGCGACGCCGCGUGGGUGAUGAAGGCCUUCGGGUUGUAAAGCCCUGUGGGCAGGGAAGAAAACAGUCGGAAAUCAUAAGUCCGACUCUUGACGGUACCUGCUCAGAAAGCACCGGCUAACUCCGUGCCAGCAGCCGCGGUAAGACAGAGGGUGCAAACGUUGCGCGGAAUUACUGGGCGUAAAGCGCGUGUAGGUGGAUUGGUGUGUCAGAUGUGAAAGCCCUGGGCUCAACCCAGGAACUGCACCUGAAACUACCAGUCUUGAGUGGUGGAGAGGGAAGUGGAAUUCCUGGUGUAGAGGUGAAAUUCGUAGAUAUCAGGAGGAACACCAGUGGCGAAGGCGGCUUCCUGGACACUAACUGACGCUGAGACGCGAAAGCGUGGGGAGCAAAC